CUUCCAGUAGCACCUUAGAGACCAACUAAGUUUGUUAUUGGUAUGAGCUUUCGUGUGCAUGAACACUUCUUCAGAUACCGCUCAUACCAAUAAAAAACUUAGUUGGUCUCUAAGGUGCUACUGGAAG
Podarcis lilfordi (Lilford's wall lizard) is the source of this 127-nucleotide non-coding RNA. NCBI's taxonomy places the organism in Eukaryota, Metazoa, Chordata, Lepidosauria, Squamata, Lacertidae. The record is from the annotation of a GenBank genome assembly.